RNAcentral lists this ribosomal RNA (449 nucleotides) under uncultured bacterium. RNAcentral describes it as "partial 16S ribosomal RNA". It matches the Rfam family "Bacterial small subunit ribosomal RNA", at positions 29 to 523 of the family's 1533-position model. The record is from RNAcentral.
AAUGUACGCUGGCGGCGUGCCUAACACAUGCAAGUCGAACGAAGGCUUCGGCCUUAGUGGCGCACGGGUGCGUAACGCGUGGGAAUCUGCCCUCAGGUUCGGAAUAACAGCGAGAAAUUGCUGCUAAUACCGGCUGAUAUCGCGAGAUCAAAGAUUUAUCGCCGGAGGAUGAGCUCGCGUAGGAUUAGCUAGUUGGUGUGGUAAAGGCGCACCAAGGCGACGAUCCUUAGCUGGUCUGAGAGGAUGAUCAGCCACACUGGGACUGAGACACGGCCCAGACUCCUACGGGAGGCAGCAGUGGGGAAUAUUGGACAAUGGGCGAAAGCCUGAUCCAGCAAUGCCGCGUGAGUGAUGAAGGCCUUAGGGUUGUAAAGCUCUUUUACCCGGGAUGAUAAUGACAGUACCGAGAGAAUAAGCUCCGGCUAACUCCGUGCCAGCCGCCGCCGUAA